This 727-nucleotide ribosomal RNA is filed under the name uncultured archaeon. RNAcentral describes it as "bacterial SSU rRNA". It matches the Rfam family "Archaeal small subunit ribosomal RNA", at positions 27 to 759 of the family's 1478-position model. The record is from RNAcentral.
CUGCUAUCGAGUUCCGACUAAGCCAUGCGAGUCACAGGCCGUAAGGUACUGGCAGACGGCUCAGUAACACGCGGAUAAUCCAACCUUAGGUGGGGCAUAGCCUUGGGAAACUGAGAUUAAUUCCCCAUAGAUCCCGAAAACUGGAAUGUUACGGGUUCAGAAAGUCACGACGCCUAAGGACGAGUCUGCGGCCUAUCAGGUAGUAGGUGGGGUAAAGGCCCACAUAGCCUAUGACGGGUACGGGCCCUGAGAGGGGGAGCCCGGAGAUGGACUCUGAGACACUAGUCCAGGCCCUACGGGGCGCAGCAGGCGCGAAACCUGUGCAAUGCGCGCAAGCGCGACACGGGGAGCCUGAGUGCCUUGACUAAGUCAAGGCUUUUCUUAAGCCUAAAAAGCUUGAGGAAUAAGAGCUGGGCAAGACGGGUGCCAGCCGCCGCGGUAACACCCGCAGCUCGAGUGGUAGUCACUUUUAUUGAGCCUAAAGCGUUCGUAGCCGGUUUUGUAAAUCCUCAGACAAAUUCUCCUGCUUAACGGGAGAUACUCUGGAGAGACUGCGAAACUAGGGACCGGGUGAGGUUGAAGGUACUUCUGGGGUAGGGGUAAAAUCCUGUAAUCCUGGAAGGACGACCAGUGGCGAAGGCGUUCAACUAGAACGGAUCCGACGGUGAGGAACGAGGGCUAGGGGAGCAAACCGGAUUAGAUACCCGGGUAGUCCUAGCUGUAAACA